CAGGUGGUGCAUGGUUGUCGUCAGCUCGUGUCGUGAGAUGUUGGGUUAAGUCCCGCAACGAGCGCAACCCUCGACCCUAGUUGCCAUCAUUCAGUUGGGCACUCUAGCGAGACUGCCGGUAAUAAACCGGAGGAAGGUGGGGAUGACGUCAAAUCAUCAUGCCCCUUAUGACCUGGGCUACACACGUGCUACAAUGGUUGGUACAACGAGUUGCGAGUCGGUGACGGCGAGCUAAUCUCUUAAAGCCAAUCUCAGUUCGGAUUGUAGGCUGCAACUCGCCUACAUGAAGUCGGAAUCGCUAGUAAUCGCGGAUCAGCACGCCGCGGUGAAUACGUUCCCGGGCCUU
Molecule: ribosomal RNA, 346 nt
Filed under: uncultured Streptococcus sp.
Lineage: Bacteria; Bacillati; Bacillota; Bacilli; Lactobacillales; Streptococcaceae
Description: bacterial SSU rRNA
Rfam family: Bacterial small subunit ribosomal RNA
Source: RNAcentral